UGGGGAAUUUUGGACAAUGGGCGCAAGCCUGAUCCAGCCAUGCCGCGUGCGGGAAGAAGGCCUUCGGGUUGUAAACCGCUUUUGUCAGGGAAGAAAUCUUCUGAGUUAAUACCUCGGGAGGAUGACGGUACCUGAAGAAUAAGCACCGGCUAACUACGUGCCAGCAGCCGCGGUAAUACGUAGGGUGCAAGCGUUAAUCGGAAUUACUGGGCGUAAAGCGUGCGCAGGCGGUUUUGUAAGACAGAGGUGAAAUCCCCGGGCUCAACCUGGGAACUGCCUUUGUGACUGCAAGGCUUGAGUGCGGCAGAGGGGGAUGGAAUUCCGCGUGUAGCAGUGAAAUGCGUAGAUAUGCGGAGGAACACCGAUGGCGAAGGCAAUCCCCUGGGCCUGCACUGACGCUCAUGCACGAAAAGCGUGGGGAGCAAAACAGGAUUAGAUACCCUGGUAGUCCACGCCCUAAACGAUGUCAACUGGUUGUUGGGAAGGUUCCUUCUCAGUAACGUAGCUAACGCGUGAAGUUGACCGCCUGGGGAGUACGGCC
Molecule: ribosomal RNA, 541 nt
Filed under: uncultured bacterium
Lineage: Bacteria
Description: partial 16S ribosomal RNA
Rfam family: Bacterial small subunit ribosomal RNA
Source: RNAcentral